This 1712-nucleotide ribosomal RNA is filed under the name Enterobacter hormaechei. RNAcentral's name for it is "partial 23S ribosomal RNA". It matches the Rfam family "Bacterial large subunit ribosomal RNA", at positions 1 to 1756 of the family's 2925-position model. The record is from RNAcentral. Lineage: Bacteria; Pseudomonadati; Pseudomonadota; Gammaproteobacteria; Enterobacterales; Enterobacteriaceae.
GGUUAAGCGACUAAGCGUACACGGUGGAUGCCCUGGCAGUCAGAGGCGAUGAAGGACGUGCUAAUCUGCGAAAAGCGCCGGCGAGGUGAUAUGAACCCUUGACCCGGCGAUGUCCGAAUGGGGAAACCCAGUGUGUUUCGACACACUAUCGUUAACUGAAUACAUAGGUUAACGAGGCGAACCGGGGGAACUGAAACAUCUAAGUACCCCGAGGAAAAGAAAUCAACCGAGAUUCCCCCAGUAGCGGCGAGCGAACGGGGAGCAGCCCGGAGUCUGAAUCAGCUUGUGUGUUAGUGGAACGGUCUGGAAAGUCCGACGGUACAGGGUGAUAGUCCCGUACACGAAAAUGCACAGGUUGUGAACUCGAAGAGUAGGGCGGGACACGUGGUAUCCUGUCUGAAUAUGGGGGGACCAUCCUCCAAGGCUAAAUACUCCUGACUGACCGAUAGUGAACCAGUACCGUGAGGGAAAGGCGAAAAGAACCCCGGCGAGGGGAGUGAAAAAGAACCUGAAACCGUGUACGUACAAGCAGUGGGAGCCUCUUUAUGGGGUGACUGCGUACCUUUUGUAUAAUGGGUCAGCGACUUAUAUUCUGUAGCAAGGUUAACCGUAUAGGGGAGCCGAAGGGAAACCGAGUCUUAACUGGGCGUUAAGUUGCAGGGUAUAGACCCGAAACCCGGUGAUCUAGCCAUGGGCAGGUUGAAGGUUGGGUAACACUAACUGGAGGACCGAACCGACUAAUGUUGAAAAAUUAGCGGAUGACCUGUGGCUGGGGGUGAAAGGCCAAUCAAACCGGGAGAUAGCUGGUUCUCCCCGAAAGCUAUUUAGGUAGCGCCUCGUGAACUCAUCUUCGGGGGUAGAGCACUGUUUCGGCUAGGGGGCCAUCCCGGCUUACCAACCCGAUGCAAACUACGAAUACCGAAGAAUGUUAUCACGGGAGACACACGGCGGGUGCUAACGUCCGUCGUGAAGAGGGAAACAACCCAGACCGCCAGCUAAGGUCCCAAAGUCAUGGUUAAGUGGGAAACGAUGUGGGAAGGCACAGACAGCCAGGAUGUUGGCUUAGAAGCAGCCAUCAUUUAAAGAAAGCGUAAUAGCUCACUGGUCGAGUCGGCCUGCGCGGAAGAUGUAACGGGGCUAAACCAUGCACCGAAGCUGCGGCAGCGACACUAUGUGUUGUUGGGUAGGGGAGCGUUCUGUAAGCCGUUGAAGGUGUGCUGUGAGGCAUGCUGGAGGUAUCAGAAGUGCGAAUGCUGACAUAAGUAACGAUAAAGCGGGUGAAAAGCCCGCUCGCCGGAAGACCAAGGGUUCCUGUCCAACGUUAAUCGGGGCAGGGUGAGUCGACCCCUAAGGCGAGGCCGAAAGGCGUAGUCGAUGGGAAACAGGUUAAUAUUCCUGUACUUGGUGUUACUGCGAAGGGGGGACGGAGAAGGCUAUGUCAGCCGGGCGACGGUUGUCCCGGUUUAAGCAUGUAGGCGGAGGUUCCAGGUAAAUCCGGUACCUUUUAACGCUGAGGUGUGAUGACGAGGCACUACGGUGCUGAAGUGAUAAAUGCCCUGCUUCCAGGAAAAGCCUCUAAGCAUCAGGUAACACGAAAUCGUACCCCAAACCGACACAGGUGGUCAGGUAGAGAAUACCAAGGCGCUUGAGAGAACUCGGGUGAAGGAACUAGGCAAAAUGGUGCCGUAACUUCGGGAGAAGGCACGCUGAUA